CGUGUACAGAGGGAGCAGGCGGCGGCGGCGUUCGGUAGGAAGGGGCGGGAGAGUGGAGGAGAGGGUGGAGGAAGGUGAGGGAGGACAGUAGAGGAGGAAGGUGAGGUUGGAGGUGACUCGGCGACGGUACCGCUGACUCGACGGUAAGCAGGGAGAGGGAGGAGCGCGGACCUUGCGAUCGAGCACCUGUACGGCUGGCAUGCGCGGCGUCCGUCCCGUUCUUGACGUCGUGGGGUUGUGCAGCUGUUCCCUCCAAUCGUUUCUAACCUGCCCCUACCUGCUCGAUCUGUACCUACCGCAGUUGCACCGGUUCGGGCUCAAGCGCAUGGGAUGACCAGCAUAAGACUUAUUAUCACGUUCCAUGAAACUCAUUUACCAGACGUUUAGUCACGUAGACCUCACGAUCCUACACACCCCUGUUUUUCUACGGUAACGUAUCCGGGCAACCGUCUCUUUAGUUUCGAAAUGGUCCGCAACAGCCGUUACUAACUACUCUAUUAACCAAAUCGACGAAAGCCUUCUCCGCUGCCCUUAGUAUUUUUGGUGCUACCGAUACCUCUAAGUUGUAUAUCUUUCUACCUUCUCCAAGGGUGAGAGAGAGAGAGAGAGAGAGAGAGAGAGAGGGAAGGUGAAAGAAAACUAAAUUAGGGGUCAGAAUAAAUAGAUACGGAUGUACCACACGCCGACGUUCCUUUAUAAUGAGAGACGUUAUAAUCACGAGGUAACGGAUGAGUUGUCACAGAAAAAAAAGAAGACUUUAAAUCGACGUCAGAACCUAGUGAAUGGACAUGUCAUGCAAUGUAGAGUGCCAAUAGACUGAACGAAUACGUUAUAUAGAGUAGUAAGUAUAUAUACAAAUUAAACACCUCUUUAUAUAAACAACGAUACAACAAACUCUAAAUGUAGGAGACAAGGUACUCAAUUCUCCUAUAAAAAUCUCCAAAGGCACAAUGAGUAUAUCCAAACCAUCAAUAUAAAACCAAUCUUGGAACGACGAGGAUUGGUGACCAAUACACAAAAACCCUGUUCCACGAAACAUGUAAUACUAACCAAUACAUACACAGUACCUAAUUUACAUAAAUACGAAGACGUGUUAAAAAUUAGAUAUUAAGCAAAAGGACGGUUGUUCGUAGUGUUCAUUAUAGCUCUCGCUCGUCAACGUCUACUCUCCCCUCUGCUCGCACCCACCUCCAGUCCGAAACAGUUCCCUCUGCACCCAUGAAGACAAUCAACUCUUCUGUAAUGUUAACGCGUUGUCAGUCCUUAUUUACAAUAAGAAGGAGACUAUAUAACGUCGUUUAAGUCAAAUACACAGGAGGCUAAUAAAGAAGAUAAAAAACCGGAACACGAAAAUCGUCAUGUACCAGGUCAUCAUUAGCCCCUGAGUCCCCUUCCCGUCAAGAUAGAAGAUACACUCCAACUGAUGAAAACUAAGCGUACAGGAGGACUUAGUCGAUACAUACUUUCGUCUCCGGGAGGUUUAAUCUACCAUCACAAAUCUUAAUUACUAAAUAGGGUACACUUAACUGGAAAAGAGACAAGAAAGUAGGAAAAACAAAUCUCAAUUACUAAAUAGGUCACGACGGGUAACGUACGAGUGGCCUGAAAAUUUUUCGAAGUAGAAUCAAACGAUUUACAAGAAAGGAUGACUUGAUCGAAGUCUUGCUAACCAACCAAAUAAUCGGUAAACUAAAAAAACAAGUAAAGUGCAAACGAUGAUUGUUUAUAAGUUUUUUUAUCACAAGGACAAUUGAUUAAAACCUAGCAUAAACAACCUCUAGGAGACAAGAACAAGAGACACGCGGCCUAGACAACGACGCCGGGAGCUAGACAAGCAGGUGACGCCAGACGCCCACGAGCACGAAGACCAGCUAAGCAGGACGAUGCAGCCAGUAGCAAGACGUCAAUAAACACUAAACUUUCGUUGACUACUGAGUUAUAGUUAGUCACGUGCCUCCCUUGAGAAGAGGUGGUACGACUGCUGUCCUUUCCCCUUUUAGGUCAGACGUCACGGUAGCUACUUGUUCCAUUUGUGCUCGACAGCAAGCGAAUAUUUAAGGCAUUAAGUCAUCAUAGCUAGAUCCCAAGUACACUCACUUAGAAUGACAAGAAGCCUGGCACAUAUUUUUACGACGAGACAAUAGUCAACAUCGACGUCAAGAUAACAACACUCAGAGAGAGUACCAGGUUAUCUUACGGGAAAAGUCUCUUUUAUGAGGUCUAGAUAAAUGAUACUAAAUCAAGACCAUAACUAAAAAUAAAUCAUACUUAUGAGUGUAUUACUCAGAUAAUUUGCUAGAUUUAUGGUGGAUAAGUGCCUAAUGAACACGGCGAUAAAAAAAACGAAUAGCGCGGUAAGAAAUGCAAACAUAACGUUGUUUCAUUUAAAACAUCCGAGUCUCUUUAGAAGACCUAACAAAUCUGGUGUAUAAACAAAAGAAAGAGUUAUCAGUACUACGUGUUGCAUCAUUAAAACUAAAAAGUAAACCUACAAUAUAUGAGAAAUGUUCUAGAUGUUCAACGUGUGUUAAGUAUAAACUACAAAUCAGAACGAUUAAGAGCUUUGUAAGGGUACAAACAAGAGGAUGUCUCGAAAACUAUAGAAUAGAUAUGAGUACGAAUUUUCUAUGAGGGAGACAUUGAUUUAUAAUCUUCAAAAACAUCAAGUUAAACUUGUUGUUUUUACAGAAUUAUAAAUCAGUAUCCCAUCAUGAACAGAACCAACUAACGAAAUACUUCUUUCAUCUGGUAAAAUCUAGUUUCUAUACCUAAAUACUAUCAAAACUCUGUCUCUCCUUCUUUAUUGUUCAAACCCUUUACUACUUUGAAGGUUUUUAAUACUGUUAAACUAAGUCGUACACCAAUCCAGUACGAGAAUCCUCUAUUUACAAGAAGACAUUAAAAUCAAAGUUCAUGAAAACUAACUAUUAUUCUUCCUAUACACAAAUAACUAACAAAAUAUGAUGAUAAUAAAUCCACUACGUUUAGUUAUAGAACGAAACAGAUACGAUACUUCACCGGAUUCGCGAUAUGGUGCCCCUUGGUCCUUGCCAAUGAAAGGACCACUGGAAUAAUAAGCCAUACCACGAACGUUUAACUAGAAAACAACACAAAUAAGUGACUUCGAACAUGACAGUUUGUCUCAACGAUAACAUAACUACGGAACCUUACAACAAUUUAGUUCAUUACGUCGACUUAAACAGACGAUGAGGGGGACAGGGUUUUAUAUUCUUGCAAAAAUUGUGAUGUGAUUACAGUUUUUGCAAGAAUAUAAUACCCUGCCUCCCUCAUGUACAAUUAGAACGAGAAACUAUGAACAAGUGUUAACAAAUGAACUACGAACUACCGUUGACGAUAAGAAUGUUCUGAUAGUUAGACUCUAUAAUAGUAUUGAGUCUUUUUACUCUACACGUGUAUACAAACAUAAAACUAAAUGAUUACCAAAGGAAGUACACUUACAAAAUAACGUAAUAGACUAAAGAUUAGACAUCAUUUACACUGUGUUCAAAUAGUAAAUAGUAACAUACCUCACUUGGCUCCGUCGUUGAUCGACCUGCACCUUCACAACAAGGACUUCCUCUUCAUACUCCAACACGAACUCUUCUAGAGGUCCGACCUCCUCUACCGAAGAGAUAAGUAAAUAAAAGAGGGACUUCGUACCCUACAGCCUAAGUCUCGUUGUUCCGCUGAUUUCCUACCCCAAUAGCGUUCCUCCGUGUGUGUACCUACUAGCCACUCCAGCGAUCUCGAAUACUCCACCUCACUCCUUGUUCUCGCCUUGCCUAAGACAGUGGUGCUACAACUUUCCCUACACGUGGUGACAAAAACACGGAUAUAAUUUCAUAUAAACACACUACUCGUCGAUGUCGAACACAAACGUUUAAACAAGGAAAAAUCGAAAUUGGUAAAAAACACUUCUUUUAUAAAACAUUUGGUCACGUUUGAAACGGACUUAAUGGUAGGUAAACCGUUUUACAAUUUCGUCUAAUCUAGUAAGGAGCGUUAUUCGUAACCUCACUUCAAAGUUGGGUAACUAAGAUAUACAGGAGAGGUCAUGGAAAACACGAUUCCCCGUCACAAACACACGUGAGGCUUAUGAUUACGAUCUACAAGAGAAGUUUU
This 4122-nucleotide ribosomal RNA is filed under the name Triticum aestivum (bread wheat). Its description in RNAcentral is "partial small subunit ribosomal RNA". Lineage: Eukaryota; Viridiplantae; Streptophyta; Magnoliopsida; Poales; Poaceae. The record is from RNAcentral.